AUCUAUGGCCAUACAACUCUGAACACACCCAGUCUCCUCUGAUCUCAGAAGCUAAGCAGGGUUGGGCCUAGUUAAUACUUGGGUGGGAGAAGUAUCUGCAGAAGGUUUGUUGCUGUGGUCU
Ribosomal RNA from Erinaceus europaeus (western European hedgehog), 121 nucleotides. The record is from Ensembl. NCBI's taxonomy places the organism in Eukaryota, Metazoa, Chordata, Mammalia, Eulipotyphla, Erinaceidae.